Molecule: unclassified non-coding RNA, 147 nt
Filed under: fungal sp.
Lineage: Eukaryota; Fungi
Description: partial internal transcribed spacer region
Source: RNAcentral
AGGUGAGCAAGGCUUCUUUGAAAAAAGCUAUCGGCAGAAAACUGGCAGCUCGUAUUCUCCGUAAAUGGACAGAAGACUUCGUCGAUGAGGAUACAGCAGAAGUAGUAACGAUCGAACGUAAUGAAAUCAUCCUGGAACGGGAUGUCG